CCUACGGGGGACAGCAGUGAGGAAUAUUGGUCAAUGGCCGGAAGGCUGAACCAGCCAUGCCGCGUGAAGGUCAGUGCCCUAUGGGCGUUAAACUUCUUUUGUGCGGGAGCAAUAAUGGUCACGUGUGGCCAGACGAGAGUACCGUACGAAUAAGCAUCGGCUUACCCCGUGCCCGCAGCCGCGGUAAUGCGGGGGAGGCAAGCGUUAUCCGGAUUUAUUGGGUUUAAAGGGGGCGUAGGCUGUGAGGUUAGUCAGCGGGGAAAUGCCCCCGCUCAACGGGGGGAAGUGCCAUUGAUACUGGCUUGCUGGAGUACGGAUGCGGUGGGAGGAAUGUGUGGUGUAGCGGUGAAAUGCAUAGAUAUCACGCAGAACACCGAUUGCGAAGGCAUCUCACGAAUCCGCGAUUGACGCUGAUGCACGAAAGCGUGGGUAUCAAACAGGAUUAGAUACCCUAGUAGUC
This 460-nucleotide ribosomal RNA is filed under the name uncultured bacterium. RNAcentral describes it as "partial 16S ribosomal RNA". It matches the Rfam family "Bacterial small subunit ribosomal RNA", at positions 338 to 795 of the family's 1533-position model. The record is from RNAcentral.